RNAcentral lists this ribosomal RNA (552 nucleotides) under uncultured bacterium. Its description in RNAcentral is "bacterial SSU rRNA". It matches the Rfam family "Bacterial small subunit ribosomal RNA", at positions 355 to 896 of the family's 1533-position model. The record is from RNAcentral.
UAGGGAAUCUUCUNNAAUGGACGGAAGUCUGACCGAGCAACGCCGCGUGAGUGAAGAAGGUUUUCGGAUCGUAAAGCUCUGUUGUAAGAGAAGAACGAGUGUGAGAGUGGAAAGUUCACACUGUGACGGUAUCUUACCAGAAAGGGACGGCUAACUACGUGCCAACAGCCGCGGUAAUACGUAGGUCCCGAGCGUUGUCCGGAUUUAUUGGGCGUAAAGCGAGCGCAGGCGGUUAGAUAAGUCUGAAGUUAAAGGCUGUGGCUUAACCAUAGUACGCUUUGGAAACUGUUUAACUUGAGUGCAAGAGGGGAGAGUGGAAUUCCAUGUGUAGCGGUGAAAUGCGUAGAUAUAUGGAGGAACACCGGUGGCGAAAGCGGCUCUCUGGCUUGUAACUGACGCUGAGGCUCGAAAGCGUGGGGAGCAAACAGGAUUAGAUACCCUGGUAGUCCACGCCGUAAACGAUGAGUGCUUAGGUGUUAGACCCUUUCCGGGGUUUAGUGCCGUAGCUAACGCAUUAAGCACUCCGCCUGGGGAGUACGACCCGCAAGGUUG